GAUGAACGCUGGCGGCGUGCCUAAUACAUGCAAGUCGAGCGAACGGACGAGAAGCUUGCUUCUCUGAUGUUAGCGGCGGACGGGUGAGUAACACGUGGAUAACCUAUCUAUAAGACUGGGAUAACUUCGGGAAACCGGAGCUAAUACCGGAUAAUAUUUUGAACCGCAUGGUUCAAAAGUGAAAGACGGUCUUGCUGUCACUUAUAGAUGGAUCCGCGCUGCAUUAGCUAGUUGGUAAGGUAACGGCUUACCAAGGCAACGAUGCAUAGCCGACCUGAGAGGGUGAUCGGCCACACUGGAACUGAGACACGGUCCAGACUCCUACGGGAGGCAGCAGUAGGGAAUCUUGCGCAAUGGGCGAAAGCCUGACGGAGCAACGCCGCGUGAGUGAUGAAGGUCUUCGGAUCGUAAAACUCUGUUAGUAGGGAAGAACAUAUGUGUAAGUAAAUGUGCACAUCUUGACGGUACCUGAUCAGAAAGCCACGGCUAACUACGUG
RNAcentral lists this ribosomal RNA (497 nucleotides) under uncultured bacterium. RNAcentral's name for it is "partial 16S ribosomal RNA". It matches the Rfam family "Bacterial small subunit ribosomal RNA", at positions 28 to 507 of the family's 1533-position model. The record is from RNAcentral.